GACGAACGCUGGCGGCGUGCUUAACACAUGCAAGUCGAACGAGACGGAUUGGGAGCUUGCUCCUGACAAGUCGAGUGGCAAACGGGUGAGUAACGCGUAGACAACCUGCCGCAAAGAUGGGGACAACAGCCCGAAAGGGCUGCUAAUACCGAAUGUUGCGCCCCUCCCGCAUGGGAGGGGCGCCAAGGAUGGCCUCUGCCUGCAAGCCAUCGCUUUGCGAUGGGUCUGCGCCUGAUUAGCCAGUUGGCGGGGCAACGGCCCACCAAGGCGACGAUCAGUAGCCGGUCUGAGAGGAUGGACGGCCACAUUGGGACUGAGACACGGCCCAGACUCCUACGGGAGGCAGCAGUGGGGAAUCUUCCGCAAUGGGCGAAAGCCUGACGGAGCAACGCCGCGUGGGUGAAGAAGGUCUUCGGAUCGUAAAGCCCUGUUGCCCGGGACGAACGCCCCCGGCGCGAACAGCG
Molecule: ribosomal RNA, 464 nt
Filed under: Veillonellaceae bacterium oral taxon 131
Lineage: Bacteria; Bacillati; Bacillota; Negativicutes; Veillonellales; Veillonellaceae
Description: bacterial SSU rRNA
Rfam family: Bacterial small subunit ribosomal RNA
Source: RNAcentral